UCCCAGGUGGCUCAAACGGUAAAGCAUCUGCCCACGGUGCAGGAGACCUGGGUUCGAUCCCUGGGUUGGGAA
This 72-nucleotide transfer RNA is filed under the name Bos taurus (domestic cattle). It matches the Rfam family "tRNA". From Rfam's summary of the family: Transfer RNA (tRNA) molecules are approximately 80 nucleotides in length. Their secondary structure includes four short double-helical elements and three loops (D, anti-codon, and T loops). RNAcentral also lists the same sequence under 4 other names. The record is from Rfam by way of RNAcentral. Lineage: Eukaryota; Metazoa; Chordata; Mammalia; Artiodactyla; Bovidae.